This 478-nucleotide ribosomal RNA is filed under the name uncultured bacterium. RNAcentral describes it as "partial 16S ribosomal RNA". It matches the Rfam family "Bacterial small subunit ribosomal RNA", at positions 28 to 523 of the family's 1533-position model. The record is from RNAcentral.
GACGAACGCUGGCGGCGUGCUUAACACAUGCAAGUCGAACGGUAAGGCCCUUCGGGGUACACGAGUGGCGAACGGGUGAGUAACACGUGGGUGAUCUGCCCUGCACUUCGGGAUAAGCCUGGGAAACUGGGUCUAAUACCGGAUAGGACCCUGGGAUGCAUGUCCUGGGGUGGAAAGCUUGUGCGGUGUGGGAUGGGCCCGCGGCCUAUCAGCUUGUUGGUGGGGUGAUGGCCUACCAAGGCGACGACGGGUAGCCGGCCUGAGAGGGUGACCGGCCACACUGGGACUGAGAUACGGCCCAGACUCCUACGGGAGGCAGCAGUGGGGAAUACUGCACAAUGGGCGCAAGCCUGAUGCAGCGACGCCGCGUGAGGGAUGACGGCCUUCGGGUUGUAAACCUCUUUCAGCACCGACGAAGCGCAAGUGACGGUAGGUGCAGAAGAAGGACCGGCCAACUACGUGCCAGCCGCCGCUGUAA